RNAcentral lists this ribosomal RNA (775 nucleotides) under uncultured Neocallimastigales. RNAcentral describes it as "partial large subunit ribosomal RNA". It matches the Rfam family "Eukaryotic large subunit ribosomal RNA", at positions 23 to 635 of the family's 3401-position model. Lineage: Eukaryota; Fungi; Neocallimastigomycota; Neocallimastigomycetes; Neocallimastigales. The record is from RNAcentral.
AGAGAUGUGUGAUGACGCAUAUCAAUAAGCGGAGGAAAAGAAACUAACAAGGAUUCCCCUAGUAACGGCGAGUGAAGCGGGAAGAGCUCAAAUUUGAAAUCUUAAAGGGUUUCCCUUUACGAAUUGUAGUUUAAAGAAGUGUUUUCUGUUGGAGUUUCGGUAAAAGUUCUUUGGAAUAGGACAUCAUAGAGGGUGAGAAUCCCGUAUUUGACCGUUACUUUCCAGCUGUGUGAUACACUUUCAAAGAGUCGGAUUGUUUGGGAAUGCAGUCCAAAAUGGGUGGUAAAUUUCAUCUAAAGCUAAAUAUUGGCGAGAGACCGAUAGCGAACAAGUACCGUGAGGGAAAGAUGAAAAGAACUUUGAAAAGAGAGUUAAACAGUACGUGAAAUUGUCAAAAGGGAAGCGUUUGACACCAGUGUUGUUUAGUUGAAAAUCAAUUCAAUAAUUUUUGAUUCUAAGUAGUAUUGACUUCAUCAGCUUGCUGCUUUCUUCUCGGAAAUUAUUGAAUGCACUUUUCAGUUAACAAGUCAACAUCAAUUUCUUUUGUUGUAAAAGGGUAAGAGGAAGGUGGCUUGCGCUUCGGCUCAAGUGUUUAUAGCCUUCUAUCUCUGCAAUCGGAGAGAUUGAGGUCUGCAGCGUAGAUCCUUCGGGAUUAGAUACAUUUGUGCUAAGCUAUAGCCUUGUAUAGACAACUUGUUGACUAUGCUCAGUCAUGUAGCUUACUCGCUUAUGCUAUUUUACCUACGCUUAGGAUGUUGAAGAUGUAGCACAUCAU